UGACUAUAUUAAGUAGAGAAAAAAGGGAGACGGGGGAAAAAAAAAAGAAAAAAAAACACUAUACACUUCAAUUGCAUACCCAAAACUGUCUCCUCUACACAUCCAACAGAUAAUCCUUACAUCAUAACUAAUGCCACCACCCUUCCAAAAAAGAAAAAAUAUAUAUAUGCCAGUAAUCACAGACACGUUAGGAACUUUGUAGGAAAGCACAAAGAGCUUGUAGAUUACAACCACCACCUUAUCGGCUGCCAGAGUUUGUGUGCGUGUAUUUUUAAGUGUUUCGCCCAGCUCCUCCUUCCCCGCUACCAACAGCAAACACAUGAGUGAGCUAAUCAGCUCUUAAACUGAAAAACCUUUCGAUGCAGGCGAGUGAUGGAAGAUAAAAUCUGAGGGGCGGCAUGUGGGUCAAAUAAAAGUUGUUUUGCAGUUCGCUCCUCCAAGCCCCGCAGCGACCGCAGGGAGGUGAGAUUCCCAAAGCCACUUUCACACCUUCGAUAAUGCACUAGCAAAGAGAAGCCCGGAGAGGCUGAAGUUUCCACGGAGGGAACCGUCGGGGAAGACGCAGCCCGGGAGGACGGAAGGGUUGGGCUCGCUACCUCUGCACACGGGCGAGCCGGGGCUCCGUCUCUCAGGCUCUGCGCUAGAAACCAGAGAUUUGGCAAUGAUGAUGAUAAUGUCUUGUCCUCAGAAAACUUAGCAAACUUCUACAGCACAAAGGCAUUGGCCCUUCUGCACAAGUGUGAUUUCUGCCCAGCAUGGUAAGACACUGUAAACCACAACGGGGCAAGGCCAGGUAAUGAUGGGGCACGCACCUCCAAGUCAUUGGAUUUGGUUCUGUAAGCAGCUGAAGAGCCCCUGAUGUCAUCAGUUCUACAAGCACACUGGGCUCUCAAUACACAACACCAAGGUCAGCCCCAUCUUCCCUCCUCCUACAGUUCCUGCUUGCUCAUCUACUAGGGUAAGUGCCCCUAAGUACACAACACCUGUGGACCUGCCACUUUAUUAACUGUUUAAUGAUCGCUCUCCCCAGCUGAUUGAAAGUCAUGUGGCCAAUGAUCUUAUGUGUCUUGCUUACCGUAGUGUAUCCCCACUCCCUGACACAGUGCCUAGUGUAGAGCCGGAAGCUCAGUGAAUAUUUAUUGAAUGUAUGAAAGACUUCUCGGUUGCUCAGCCAAAAUUAUUGCCCAUAACCAGAAUGUAAACUUUCAAGGCCAGAAACUACCUAAUACUUGGUGCAGGCCUGGUUCUACCCCUGGCAUAGAGAUGGAACUCAAGAAAUGACUGAUAGUUCAAUAAAAGAUAACAAUUCAAUGACCUAAACAAUUUUUGAUUUUAAAAAGUAACUUUUAGGGCUUUAAUAUUAAGCUAAAAAUAUUAUUAAAUUUGCUUAAUGAUCUAAUUUCUGUUUUUGAGCUUAAAUAAGAAAAUAUCAAAACCAUUUUAAUCUAAGUUAGAAGUUUCGUAAGUCACUAGUAGUUUGAGACAAUGGUAUUGCUUUAUUAAAUAUCAUCAUCAUCAUCAUCAUCAUCAAGCACUAGAGUGUUGUUGCAAGAAACAGAAGGAAUAUUUUGAGAGAAAUAUCUCAAGACCCGAUUAAGAAUUUGGCUACCAGAAGAAAGGGACAGAAAAGAAGGGACAUAAAAGGCAAAAUGGUGAAAGAUAGGAUAUAGUGAGGGUUAGAAGGAGUUCAGCCUUUUGAUCAGUGAGAUGCUGUCCUCACCAGCAUAGGUGGAAAGCUGUGGAUUGGUUAGAUUGGGAAUGGGAAGACUGAGAACAGAGCCUCAAUAAAUUGAGUAUUUAAAUUUAAGAAGCCAAUAAAACAUCUGAUUUGACGUGUCCUUAAGAAAAGUAGUGAUAAUAAGAAUUACAGCAAAGAUGGGUCAGCACUAGCAAACAGUGACAGGUGGAGACAAAUAUGAUCAGUGCUGAGACAAAAUAACAGGUGUAUACAGGGAAGGAAGUGCUCUGAAAGCAGAGGGCCAAUUGCAGAGGUAAGAAGUUAAGCCAGUCAAAGAAAUUCUAGAAGCCAAGAUCAAAAAAGGUGCUAAGAGAAAGGGCAGGGUACCCUGGCAAAGACAUCUAAAUGGUCCUAGACUAUAAGCACUGAACCAAAGAUUGUAAACAAUUAGGCAGAGUAAUCUGACCAGUAUAGACAACAGUAGAAAUACUACCUCAUUGCGAGAACAUGCUGUUUCUAAUCAAUUCUGGCACUGUUACUUAGUGAAGUUCUUCAUGAACUCCAAACUUACUUCAAGAGACCCAGCUCCCAUCACUGCCCUAUGAUGCUCUUUUGUAAUCUACACAAUUGGCCUAGAUGUUGAGAAUUGCCUAUAAAAGUGUUCACACUAAUCCCAGCUUCUAUGGUCUCAAUUUAAUCUCAAGAAUUUUGUCUUUCAGCAAGUUGCUUAUAUCCAUCAUGUAACUUCAUAUUGUUUUAUUACUUAAACAAAAGGUAAGACCUUUUAUUUUUAAAACCUUCUUUUUUUUUUUUUUUUUUUUUGAGGUCAAUUCUUCCCUAAUCCAAACACUGUAAUUUCUGUUUUCCAAAUGACUCACAACAUCAGUGGCUACUGUUUCUGGAAGUUUGGAGGUUAGUAUAGGACAAAUGUGUUCUUGACACUGUCAGUUUGUAAGAGAUUUCUGCUUCCUUUCUUUUUACUGUAAUGAGUUUGCAAGAUGGCUCCCCAAGUGGCAACAGGUCUUUGUGCCUGCCAUAUCCCAUUGCAACCUUAUACCUGCUUUGCUGUCUGAUAGCACGUUGGCUCCCUUUCAGCAUUACUAAGCAUUUUCUCCCAUUGAAUAUCUCUUUCAGAUUACUUGCCCUUAGAUGUAUUAUCUUACUGUUUCCUGUGAUACUUUCAAAUCUUUUUAAGCAUCUUUGAGGUACUUCUCUUAUUUCGCUAUUUGAGAUACUUCCCAAUUUACUAUCACUUAUAAAACUGGUGGGCAUACUGUUCGUUUCCGAUUUUAGGUUUUUAAGGAAGAUGCCAAGGAAAACUAGGGGAUAUGCCUCCAUGAAGCUACAUUUUUCAUCGUCAGAAGAAUGAAUUUAAAUAAAAGUUGCAAGCCAUCACGUUGUUGGUAAAGCUGCACUGUUUACUUAGGACACAAAUCGUACGCUCCGUUUUAUGACUAGCUUUAAACAAAAGUUAAAAUGAUUCUUCAGCGGCUUGUAUUUCGUUUAAUAUGUAUACUUGGUUCAUUUUCACUCAUUCUUUUCUGCGGGAUUGAGUUAAUGUAGAAGAAAGGACUUUUUUUAAAAAAGCAAAAGUAACUUUUUGUUUAAAUUUCAAACCUUAAGUACAUUUAACAUUUUUAAAUUCACAUGGCUUUGGUUCUCCAGUAAUUGUAAAACUGUCAUUGGUUUUACUUAACUCUAAGGCACCUUAACUAAACAGCAAUAACCCAUUCAAGUAUUUGACAUUUACCUCACUGUAUUUAUGGGAGUUAUAUUUUCUCCUACUGUGCUGUUUGUAAUUUUCUUUUGCCUGUACUCAAAACAUAUUUUAAAAUAUAAUUUGGCUAGGGAAUUUCAGGGUAUGUAUUUCCUAAAUACUGGGCUCACAUAAACAUAAGGCCGGUUUUAUAUCCUUGCUUAUUUAAUAUCACUCUAGUUUUCUCUAAUUUCUUUGGAUAGUACCAACUUAAAAGCAACUUAAUCAAAUAAAAUUUCUAAGAAUCAAGUCGAUGUUAUUCAAUGUAUUUUUAGUUAAAUUCUGUUAAAUCUUAAUUUUCAGAGUAUGUUUCUGACUUCAGAAUCUUUCAAGUAAACACAUUCUAAUCUAACUCAGGUAAGUUACGAGUUAAACGUGUACAAUUCAGAAAAGAAAUAUGGCAAGUCACGUAUGUGGCUCAGUCUUAGAGUGAUGUUUACACAGGGGGUCCUGGCUCUGUCUGCACUAUAUUAUGACCCUUGUCAUCGCCUGCCCUGGAGCAGUUACAUAUGUGUCUACUUCUCCCAUUAAGCCAGUCUCUCCUGAAGGGCAGAAGCAAUCUGAAACCUUUGUAUCUUCAGUGAAGCCUCCCACAGCACUUUGCACAAAGCAGACACACAACACAUGUUUGCAAAGCUGUGUCAGAAGAGCAAAGUUCUUGGAUCUCCCUUGACAUACAAGCCCCAUGAAAAAUGAAAGCAGAAGUAACCUAGGUGAAUGGGUUGGGGGGCAGGUGCAGGUGGUAGGGUUAAGAAUGUUAAUAAGCAACCUCAAAUGAAAAUAUUUAAAUGUGAUCUUGCUUAUUAACUCAUCACUAAUCUACUUGUACAAAAGUCGAGAUUUAAAAAAAAAAAAAAGAAAAAAGAAAGGUAAGUUUUCAUCCUUCCCAAAUUAGAAGACAGGGAAGCUUCAUUAUUUGGUUUGAAAGUAUUUUCUGAAUUAUACAUGCCCAUGUGACACAGCCAAUAUUAAGAAUUUGUUCUCCUGGUGUUGCCACUACUGAACAAUGAUGAACAGAUCAACAGUACAGGAAUUCCCCAACAAAGAGUGACCCAUUGAGUAGAAAACAGAUCCUAAAACAAGGAACUGUAUUUGGUGUAUGUUCCUACUUUCUGAAUUCUGGCACACCCUUAGUCCCUAGCACCAAAGAGUCAGUCUCUCAGUAAACCUGAAACUAAUCUUUCAAAGGCAAUGUAAUUCAACAAACAUUUAUUGUGCAUCCACUGUAUGCAAAGGCAGUAAGAAUGAAAAUCUGAGGGAAAAAAGGGCCUGCAAAGGAGACUGAGAAGCAAUGAUCAGGAAAGAAGGAAAAGAUACAGGGGAGAGAGGGGGUGAACGGAACCCAAAAGAGCGAGGUGAUUGGUAACCAUUCUCAGAUGUCACAAAGGGUGGAAAGCUGAGACUCCAGAAGAAAAGACAGAAUUCUGUGUAAAUGCAAAAUACUGGGAUCAAUGAACAAAAUGAAGAACUUGUGGAAUCUUCCAUGUUUAGAAUAAUUGUUUUAUGAACCUAUUCCCCAAGAAUAAGUUCCAGUUAUACUAAUGUUACUACCAAUUUCCCUACCAAUCAGAGUUGAAAUUUCUUCCUUUUCCCUCUGAUAACUAAUGUGACCAGUUACCACGUCCUAUCACUCAUACCCACAUGAUUACGGUUGCAGAUAUGGUAGUAUAGGUUGUGUACUGCACAAGAAUGCCACAUCUACAGGGAGGAGUGUUCACAUUAUAGGUGCAUAGGUUUAAUUUUCCAGUAGAUGGCAUUCAAGUAUCUUACUGUAAUUAAGUAAAUAUAUUACAACAAUUUUCUAACAGAUGGAAGUAAAAUGUCUUAAAGACAGGGCAUCUUUUUAAUUCCCAGAAUGCACUGAGCGGGUCAGUGGUAGCUCUGGUCACAAUGCUUCCCACCUGUAUUCUAGUAUUCAUUCUGGCUCCAGCCAUGACAGAUUCGACUCCUAUGACAUCUUUCAAUGGCUUCCACCCUGAUCCCUUAAUUUCUCCACACCUGAGUCUAUCCCAUAAGUAUCUGAAGAGUUUCCCAAAGAAAAGUUCCACUAGUAUAACAUUGCUUUCCCAGAAGCCUUCAGUGGCUCUAUGUCAUAGUCUCUUCAACCUCAUGCUCAAGGCCCUUCAUACUAUGUCCUUAAUCUUCCUUUCCAGUCUAGUCAUUCACUACUAACCAAGAGACACCCUACUCCCAGUCACAACUAAUUACUGUCUGCCUUCCGUAUAUCCUGUCCUUUCCUAUUUUGCUAUCUUUGUCCAUGCCAUUUCCUCUGCCUGGAAUUUUCUCCAAACCCUGUCUUCCUGCUAGAAGUUCUAAAUUACAUUCAGUAGUAUAUUUUGGGAAGAGGUUUUGGAUGACUAAAUACUGUCUUCAGCAAGCAUCAAAACAAACCAAACAAAAGCAAAAAAGAAAGUAUUCCCCUCCUCGGUUUUUGCAGGUAUUCCUGUGAAGUAUUGGUACAUAACAAACUACUCCAAACUUAGCACUUAAAACAAGGACAAUUUUUAUCAGACCUCACAAAUCUGUGGGCCUGAAAUCUGGAAAGAGCUGAGCACUUCUGUUCUCUGUAGUAGUGCGAAUAGUCUCUCAGAUAUUGGUAGUCAGCUGGCAGAUGGGCUAUCUGGAGGAUCCCCACUUCUCCUGCUUGUCACAGACCUACAAGGUCUUCAUUCUUUAGGGCCCAGCUGAAAUUCCCCUUCUCCCAAGAAUCCUUUCCAUGCCCUUGAGUCAGGUUUAAUCUCUCAUUGCUUCAGAUUUUCUAGUACCCUUUUCUUUGUUAUAGGACUUUGCCUAUUCGUCACCUUACACUAGGUUUUCAUUUAUGUAAGAAGAGAGAAAAAGGCCAAGGGAAUAGAAUACUUUGGCCAUAUGAAUUCUCAUUCAAGUUUAAAGAGGAAACAAAAUAUUCAAUGUGACUCGAACUCUGGAGAAAUCAAAGACAGAGCAUGAGCAGGGGAGGGGCAGAGAGAGGGAGACACAGAAUCCGAAGAGGGCUCCAGGCUCUGAGCUGUCAGCAAAAAGCCCCAUGUCAGACUCGAACUCAAGAGCGGUGAGAUCAUGACCUGAGCCAAAGUCGAUCCUUAACCAAUGAAGCCACCCAGGCACCCCGCAUGUUAAUUUCUAAGAGUGCCUCACAACCCCAAAGCCUUCACUCUGGAUGGACCAAAAGGAGGUAAGAUCAAACACCACCAAGACCCUGCUGCACCUCCUGGGAUGAUGGCAGCAGCAGAAUCAACAACAUAACUAGGAUUCAAGGAGAACGUACUGUAUAGCAGGCACGGAUAGCCUGGAGCUAUCUGCAUUCUCCGCAUUCUCUAUUCAAUCCGCAGAACGCCCCUACAAGGUGGGGACUCCUAUCAUGUUCAUUUCAGAGAGGCGAAAGGGCUUGCCAAGGCCACACAGCUAGCAAGUGGUGGAGCUGGGAACCUAGCCAGACCCCGACACGUAAUCAGUGUUACUCUGCCUUUCUGUCUACCCAAAAGUAUAAUGAUCAGAUAUCUGUAAAUUAACCCAUCUUCAAAAAAAGGUACUUCAUUUACAUCUGGCUGCAAAACAUGUUCAAUUACUUUAAAGCAGCUUUGCUGUGGUGAUUGAAGUAUUUCCCCUUCUGCAGCACAGCACAAAGAACUUUAUAGAUCACUCUCCUACAAAACCACCUGUACUAUGUCCACAUGGUUGUCAAGGUUAAAAACGAAUACAAAUAAUAACAGAAGCAAUUCCAAGGGGAAUUUUUCUUUUGUGGGAGAGGAUUAGAUGGAAACAUUCUAAAAAAUGAAAAAGAGGCACCAUCUGGAAUAAUUUUAUUUUCUCACAUCUUGGAUACCUCAUAGUGUGCAACAAUGUCAAAAAUAAAGGAUCAAGAGUCCUGAAGUUAAGGAGUUUCAAAACCUCAGAAUCUAAGGAGACACCUUGACUACCCAAUAUAAUUGAUCAUUGCUUAUGAAGAGACACCUCUCUGGAGUUUCCUUCCUACCUUCUUGCCUUCCUUCCUUCCUACCUUCCUUCCUACCUUCCUUCCUACCAUCUACCCUACCUUCCUCCCUACCUUCCUCCCUACCUUCCUUCCUUCCUCCCUACCUUCCUUCCUUCCUCCCUACCUUCCUUCCUUCCUUCCUACCUUC
Long non-coding RNA from Acinonyx jubatus (cheetah), 7555 nucleotides. RefSeq lists it as uncharacterized. The record is from RefSeq and is a predicted model, not a curated record. NCBI's taxonomy places the organism in Eukaryota, Metazoa, Chordata, Mammalia, Carnivora, Felidae. The transcript has 5 exons.